AGUUUGAUCAGUUCAACAAAGCAGAUGGACUUGAUCAGAGCAGGAGACUUUUAAUCUCAGGGCUGUGGGUUCAAGCCCCACGUUGGAUGA
This is a non-coding RNA of Podarcis lilfordi (Lilford's wall lizard), 90 nucleotides long. Lineage: Eukaryota; Metazoa; Chordata; Lepidosauria; Squamata; Lacertidae. The record is from the annotation of a GenBank genome assembly.